RNAcentral lists this ribosomal RNA (818 nucleotides) under uncultured Verrucomicrobiae bacterium. RNAcentral describes it as "bacterial SSU rRNA". It matches the Rfam family "Bacterial small subunit ribosomal RNA", at positions 67 to 868 of the family's 1533-position model. Lineage: Bacteria; Pseudomonadati; Verrucomicrobiota; Verrucomicrobiia. The record is from RNAcentral.
UUUUUUCCUGUAGCAAUACAGGGAAAAGUCUAGCGGCGAACGGGUGCUUAACACGUGGGCAACCUGCCGAAAAGUGGGGGAUAGCUCGCCGAAAGGCGAAUUAAUACCGCAUGUGAUUAGAGAGGACAUCCUUUCAAAUUAAAGUCGGGGCAACCUGACGCUUUUUGUGGGGCCCGCGGCCUAUCAGCUAGUUGGUGAGGUAACGGCUCACCAAGGCUUUGACGGGUAGCUGGUCUGAGAGGACGACCAGCCACACUGGGACUGAGACACGGCCCAGACACCUACGGGUGGCAGCAGUCGAGAAUUUUUCUCAAUGGGGGAAACCCUGAAGGAGCGACGCCGCGUGGAGGAUGAAGGUCUUCGGAUUGUAAACUUCUGUCAUUGGGGAACAAGGUGCAUACGUUAACUGCGUGUGCAUUGAUAGUACCCGAAGAGGAAGAGACGGCUAACUCUGUGCCAGCAGCCGCGGUAAUACAGAGGUCUCAAGCGUUGUUCGGAUUCAUUGGGCGUAAAGGGUGCGUAGGCGGCGCGGUAAGUCGGGUGUGAAAUCUUGGAGCUUAACUCCGAAACUGCAUUCGAUACUGCCGUGCUUGAGGACUGGAGAGGAGACUGGAAUUUACGGUGUAGCGGUGAAAUGCGUAGAUAUCGUAAGGAAGACCAGUGGCGAAGGCGGGUCUCUGGACAGUUCCUGACGCUGAGGCACGAAGGCCAGGGGAGCAAACGGGAUUAGAUACCCCGGUAGUCCUGGCAGUAAACGGUGCACGUUUGGUGUGGGAGGAUUCGACCCCUUCUGCGCCGGAGCUAACGCGUUAAACGUG